CUGCAUUAAGCCCACAGUGAAGCUGCACCUGCCUCAAUGUGAUAAACAUACAUGUAAUGGACAGAGGUAAUAGCACCUGUUGUCACCAGGUACCACCGAAGACCUGGACUGAACCCAAUAGAAAGUGAAAAGUGGCUGAGGAUUAUAAAAGCAGCAAAGACCAGGCCUUCUCAGAGAUGCCUUUGGAGACUCUGCCCGGGAUAAGGAAACUGAAGCUCACGGAAGCUUAUGAUGCAAUACCAUCAACCGUGGAUAACAUCAUGAGACCCAUUCAAAAUGCCAUUAGUGAUGCUGGAAAUGCUCCCAAGAAGCAGAGAAAAGUCAUGACAUUACAAGAAAACGUUGGAUUGUUUGAUAAUAUGUACUGUAGAUCAUGAUCUGCAGCUG
Molecule: long non-coding RNA, 387 nt
Filed under: Homo sapiens (human)
Lineage: Eukaryota; Metazoa; Chordata; Mammalia; Primates; Hominidae
Description: HSALNT0374151
Source: RNAcentral